Long non-coding RNA from Hylaeus anthracinus, 2629 nucleotides. RefSeq lists it as uncharacterized. The transcript has 2 exons. NCBI's taxonomy places the organism in Eukaryota, Metazoa, Arthropoda, Insecta, Hymenoptera, Colletidae. The record is from RefSeq and is a predicted model, not a curated record.
UUAAAUACCGUUAAUGUACAUACUGUCUGAGUAGGUUUGGAGAAACUUUUAGUGGGAGCAGGAAUAUUCAAUACUGUUAAUGUACAUACUGUCUGAGUAGUUUUGGAGUAACUUUUAGUGGGGGCAGCAAUAUUAAAUACCGUUGAUGUACAUACUGUCUGAAUAGGUUUGGAGUAACUUUUAAUGGGGGCAGCAAUAUUAAAUACCGUUAAUGUACAUACUGUCUGAAUAGGUUUUGGUGUAAUUUUUGGUGGGAGCAGCAAUAUUAAAUAUGAUGUACAUACUGUCUGAGUAGGUUUGGAGUCACUUUCAGUGGGGGCGAGAAUAUUCAAUACGGUUAAUAUACAUACUGUCUGCACGUAAAUACUGCCCGUGUACAAACUAAAUUAUUAUUUUAAUGAGUGUUCGUACACCAUUGAUACGGUAUAAAAAUCGACUUUUAGCUACAUUAACGUUAAUUUUGUCAAUAUUAAAAUAGAAAUGAGUGCCCACACGUUCCUUCGCGCGUUGAAUAUCGUAUUAUAAUUGGUUUUCAUGAGACUGUCGGUAUUUUAAGAUACUGGAACCUCUAAAAUCGAAGUGUUCGUAUAAUUUUGAUACGUAACGCACAGCCACAUGUCAUCCCUGAUUAUCCCUGUACAUUUUCCGAUGACAAUGACUUCCUAUCGUUCCAAUUCACAUGAGCGGAUUAAGGCGAGAAACUGAGACAACUUGGCGAAAUUUGUACCGCGUUUGAUCAGGCAUCGAGAUACCUAAACUUCGGGCCAGAUUGCUACAACUUCGCAAAGGUAAGGAAAGUUCAAGGCGGAGCCCCCGCGGACGCCAAUUUAAUAAAAACUUUCCCGGAGCCGAUAUUAGAUCCGCCAUGCGAACGAAGAAACUGGAUUUCAGUGAAAUCGCACGAGCCCGUCGAUUUUUUAAUAAAAGUCGCGGGGAACUCGUUGGAAAGAAAUGAAAAACCGAUAUCCGAUAAUUCCGCGAGAUACACCAAUGAAAAUAAAACUAACACUCCAGAAUCAUUCCGUGUUGUUGCGUGAGAUAAUCUCCAGGUUAAGAUGCGCUUCGCGUGGUUGCCGUACAAGAUGGGUGACCGUUUUUUCACAAAAGUAAAAUAAUGGCGUGAAGAGAACCGUGGGGUUUGGAAGUGGUAUUAAACAAAAAUUAAAAUUGGACUACUCCAGUGAAAAUACCAGGCAAGUCUGGUAUGACGUUGCGGGAAUAUUUUCGCAAUUAUUUAUGGGUUAUUUCUGAGAAGCCGUUCCAACCCGCCUGGCGCAAGAAUAUUUCCAGAGUAACUGUAAAAAAAAAUACAAAAAAUAAUAAUAAAGUCAAUAAAAAGUCUACUCUACAAUUAAAACAAAAUAGUAUCAUAAACGUAGCUGUAGAAUUACAAUAUUGCAUCAACAUUUCUGCAACGUUCCUCCCAAUUUAGAUUACAAUUUCGCCGACAAUCUUCCCGCUGAAAUUUGUCGAAACUCUUCGCCUUUCUUAUGCGACUCGUGUUGUUCAAGCGUGUGCGAUUAGUGCCACCGUUGACGGUGUCUUCGACGCUUUCACGGCGCGCCGCGACGCCAGUUACGUAAACCAAAGUUUACCUUUCGAAGCCAUCCGUUCCCAGCGCCACGACCGGGUCCCAGUUCGCGAAAUUGCAAGAAACUUAUUCUCCUCGGCUGAAACUGGGAUGAGAUGAUGUACAGUCGAACGUUUUCUUUCUCCGCGUCUAACAAAAGGCUUAGGAAACAACGGCCAAAGGUGGACAGGAAAUAAUUUGUAACUAAAGUACUCGAUGCUCCGAGGAGAAUGAUGUAAGUGGAAUGAGUUGUGAAGUUGAGAUUACCUCAGUGUAUCCUUGGCUCUUGCGCUGUUCUGCGAUUCGUAACGCGGUGUUCUUCCGAAAGAUGAGACGAAAUGGUAAAAUUCGAUUCUUUUGUGGCAUCUGUAAUUGUCGAGUGAAACAAAGUCACGUUCGUUUGCAUAAAACAAAAAAAAACAAAAAAAAAAAAAGAAGGCUCGUCGACGAGCGUGUAGAAUUAAAUUAUAUCGACCCAUGAUUCAGAUAUUCAUUACAAAUGACUGUAGCAUGCACAUGGUAGAUGAAAGAAAUUUAUUUGAAAUGCUAAGAGUAAAAUGAUGACUCGUACGAAUCUACAAAAAGAGAAAUAAAUGAGACACUAUUGCUUACAUCACUGGUAAAUUACAUAGCCGCUGUUUUUCAUCCUCAUUGUGCGUCGAUGAUGACCGUGUAAGUUUGAAUCCGAUCUGAAAACAGAUGUACGGGAUGAUAUAGUCGCCUUCCUUAAUGAACGUCGUUUUAUUUUCACGUCAGUGACAAAAAAACUAUGAGUAUCGUUGUACGUAGAGCAAAAAUCGUUUCGCAGGUGCGUCGACUGGCUAUCGCUUCGACUCGUUCGACACCGAGAUUCGAAUGCUUAUAAGCUAGAACGCCCGAGAAAUGAUCAACGCGAUAUGUUCGAUCGGAAGCUCUGUACAACAAACGAAGGGAACGGAAAACGCUUUGCGCAGCUACAACGGCUCGUUUUAACCCUCUGUCGCACGAAUUUUUAUUGCAUCGUUCGAGCAAGAAACGAACUCGACUCUCGGUUUAUUUACAACGUUCGCGAAUCGAUGC